GACGAACGCUGGCGGCGUGCCUAAUACAUGCAAGUCGAACGCUUCUUUCCUCCCGAGUGCUUGCACUCAAUUGGAAAGAGGAGUGGCGGACGGGUGGGUAACACGUGGGUAACCUACCCAUCAGAGGGGGAUGACACUUGGAAACAGGUGCUAAUACCGCAUAACAGUUUAUGCCGCAUGGCAUAAGAGUGAAAGGCGCUUUCGGGUGUCGCUGAUGGAUGGACCCGCGGUGCAUUAGCUAGUUGGUGAGGUAACGGCUCACCAAGGCCACGAUGCAUAGCCGACCUGAGAGGGUGAUCGGCCACACUGGGACUGAGACACGGCCCAGACUCCUACGGGAGGCAGCAGUAGGGAAUCUUCGGCAAUGGACGAAAGUCUGACCGAGCAACGCCGCGUGAGUGAAGAAGGUUUUCGGAUCGUAAAACUCUGUUGUUAGAGAAGAACAAGGACGUUAGUAACUGAACGUCCCCUGACGGUAUCUAACCAGAAAGCCACGGCUAACUACGUG
RNAcentral lists this ribosomal RNA (508 nucleotides) under uncultured bacterium. RNAcentral's name for it is "partial 16S ribosomal RNA". It matches the Rfam family "Bacterial small subunit ribosomal RNA", at positions 28 to 507 of the family's 1533-position model. The record is from RNAcentral.